Molecule: ribosomal RNA, 254 nt
Filed under: uncultured bacterium
Lineage: Bacteria
Description: partial small subunit ribosomal RNA
Rfam family: Bacterial small subunit ribosomal RNA
Source: RNAcentral
AGGACGAACGCUGGCGGCGUGCUUAACACAUGCAAGUCGAGCGGAAAGGCCCUUCGGGGUACUCGAGCGGCGAACGGGUGAGUAACACGUGAGUAAUCUGCCCCUAGCUCUGGGAUAGCUCCGGGAAACCGGGAUUAAUACCGGAUACGACCACUUUAGACAUCUUUUGUGGUGGAAAGAAUUUCGGCUAGGGAUGAGCUCGCGGCCUAUCAGCUUGUUGGUGGGGUAACGGCCUACCAAGGCGACGACGGGUA